This 168-nucleotide microRNA precursor is filed under the name Pelobates cultripes (western spadefoot toad). Lineage: Eukaryota; Metazoa; Chordata; Amphibia; Anura; Pelobatidae. The record is from RNAcentral.
GCAGACACAUUCCAGCCAAUCAGCAUCAGACCCUCCCUCCCAGACCCUCCCACCUCCUGGACAGCAUCCAUUUUACAUUCAUUGUGAAGCUGCAUUCUUAGUGAGCUGUCCAGGAGGUGGGAGGGUCUGGGAGGGAGAGUCUGCUGCUGAUUGGCUGGAAUGUGUCUG